Molecule: ribosomal RNA, 314 nt
Filed under: uncultured bacterium
Lineage: Bacteria
Description: partial 16S ribosomal RNA
Rfam family: Bacterial small subunit ribosomal RNA
Source: RNAcentral
UUAUAAGAGACAGCAGCCGCCACGGUAAUACAGAGGGUGCGAGCGUUAAUCGGAUUUACUGGGCGUAAAGCGUGCGUAGGCGGCUUUUUAAGUCGGAUGUGAAAUCCCUGAGCUUAACUUAGGAAUUGCAUUCGAUACUGGGAAGCUAGAGUAUGGGAGAGGAUGGUAGAAUUCCAGGUGUAGCGGUGAAAUGCGUAGAGAUCUGGAGGAAUACCGAUGGCGAAGGCAGCCAUCUGGCCUAAUACUGACGCUGAGGUACGAAAGCAUGGGGAGCAAACAGGAUUAGAGACCCCGGUAGUCCCUGUCUCUUAUAA